UCUCUUCACAGGCAAGCUAAUCGUUGGAUCUGCCGACUAUCUGCCGACUACGCCUUGGACAUGCAUGUACUCCCAUACAUCUUUGUAAAAUUAGAGUCAGAAAUCACUCUUUGUGUGAAUGUGGGCUAGACGAAGGUUCCUUAUCCUAUAUACUGUUUUCUUGUCCCAAACUCCUCCAUCCCGUAUACGACGUUCUCCCUCCAAAAGUCCCUCGCCCUAUUAAUGUUGAAUGUUUGUUAAUGUUAUGGGUUAACAGAAAGUCUACUACUAUUAUGCCUUCAAAAUUGUAUUAAGCCUGUAAUCUCGACCGCACCGUUCAAUCUCCAUCGUGUCUUCUCCAUCGCACGUGACAUUGGCGAAAUAAUCUGUGCCCUCUUGGCACAAAUAAAAGCCAGAAUAAAAAAAAAAAGAAAA
This is a long non-coding RNA of Vanessa tameamea, 414 nucleotides long. RefSeq lists it as uncharacterized. NCBI's taxonomy places the organism in Eukaryota, Metazoa, Arthropoda, Insecta, Lepidoptera, Nymphalidae. The record is from RefSeq and is a predicted model, not a curated record. The transcript is spliced from 2 exons.